Myripristis murdjan (pinecone soldierfish) is the source of this 816-nucleotide long non-coding RNA. RefSeq lists it as uncharacterized. The record is from RefSeq and is a predicted model, not a curated record. NCBI's taxonomy places the organism in Eukaryota, Metazoa, Chordata, Actinopteri, Holocentriformes, Holocentridae. The transcript has 3 exons.
AUUCAGAAAGGUCCUGUAGGCAGGACUGGGAGAUUCACAUUCAGUUUCCUAUGCAGUAACUUUGAUUUUAUUCUUGUAAAUUUGACGGUGUUGUAAGACUUGUUAGAUUUGCCCUUCUCUCUUUGGAAAUCAUUAUAUUCGAUGGAAAACAUAGCGCUGUACAGGUAAACGGUCGCUCUCCGCCGGAAAAUAGUCCCCAAGGAGACUGCUUGUUUCAGCAAAAGACCACAGGAGGGAGCAUUUCCUUCUCCAAACAGCAGGCAACUUGAAUGGAGGAGCCAAUACAGGAAACCUGGGAGUUUUGACACCUCAUGUGCAUGACUGGCACUUUGUGGAGGAUGAAAAAUGUGUCCAUAUUCAGAAACUGAUGAAAUGUGCUCAAAGGUCCAGUGGUGUGCCACCAUGCAUCCUGCUGAUCUGAGCCUUUCAUCUCCUCCCCUGUCUUUAGCCUAAGUUAACAAGGUCAACAGAUUUUUCAGGGUUUUCACUGCACAUCUUUAGGAUUCAUUAUGAAGCAGCUGUUGUGAAAUGAAAGUAGAAAAUGGGUGUAAUUCUCUUGAUUAAUGUGUUCAGUACACCGGAGAGGGGUUUGUAAUCGACUGUAGGUCUGCCCCGUCUUCAGGGUUGAAAAGCACUGAUACAAAAACACUGGAAACAAUUUGGCCAUCUAUAAAUGUCAGUCUUACACACACUUACUAAUAUGUUGAACUUUCAAACAUGCAUUUGAGACCCAAAGACAUGCUUGUACAUGUGGAAAAAAAGAAAUUUAUUACAAUAAUGUUCCAAGUUUACCAUUAAUAAAUAUUUAUGUUUACA